RNAcentral lists this ribosomal RNA (497 nucleotides) under uncultured bacterium. RNAcentral's name for it is "partial 16S ribosomal RNA". It matches the Rfam family "Bacterial small subunit ribosomal RNA", at positions 28 to 507 of the family's 1533-position model. The record is from RNAcentral.
GAUGAACGCUGGCGGCGUGCCUAAUACAUGCUAGUCGAGCGAACAGACGAGGAGCUUGCUCCUCUGACGUUAGCGGCGGACUGGUGAGUAACACGUGGAUAACCUACCUAUAAGACUGGGAUAACUUCGGGAAACCGGAGCUAAUACCGGAUCAUAUAUUGAACCGCAUGGUUCAUUAGUGAACGACGGUUUUGCUGUCACUUAUAGCUGGAUCCGCGCCGCAUUAGCUAGUUGGUAAGGUAACGCCUUACCAAGGCAACGAUGCGUAGCCGACCUGAGAGGGUGAACGGCCACACUGGAUCUGAGACCCGGUCCAGACUCCUACGGGAGGCAGAAGUAGGGAAUCUUCCGCAAUGGGCGAAAGCCUGACGGAGCGACGCCGCGUGAGGGAUGUGGGUCCUCGGAUCGGAAAGCUCUGUCAUUAGGCAAGAACGCAGGUCUAAGUAACCAUGCACGUCUUGACGGUAGCUAAUCAGAAAGCCACGGCUAACUACGAC